Molecule: ribosomal RNA, 1127 nt
Filed under: uncultured bacterium
Lineage: Bacteria
Description: bacterial SSU rRNA
Rfam family: Bacterial small subunit ribosomal RNA
Source: RNAcentral
GGGAAUCUUGCGCAAUGGGCGAAAGCCUGACGCAGCAACGCCGCGUGAGGGACGAAGGCUUUCUGAGUUGUAAACCUCUUUCAGCAGGGGCGAUUGUGACGGUACCUGCAGAAGAAGCACCGGCCAACUACGUGCCAGCAGCCGCGGUGAUACGUAGGGUGCGAGCGUUGUCCGGAUUUAUUGGGCGUAAAGAGCUCGUAGGCGGUUCGAUAAGUCGGGUGUGAAAUCUCCAGGCUCAACCUGGAGUCGCCACUUGAUACUGUCGUGACUAGAGUCCGGUAGGGGACCAUGGAAUUCCUGGUGUAGCGGUGAAAUGCGCAGAUAUCAGGAGGAACACCAGUAGCGAAGGCGGUGGUCUGGGCCGGAACUGACGCUGAGGAGCGAAAGCGUGGGGAGCGAACAGGAUUAGAUACCCUGGUAGUCCACGCCGUAAACGUUGGGCACUAGGUGUGGGGCCUAUUCAACGGGUUCCGUGCCGUAGCUAACGCAUUAAGUGCCCCGCCUGGGGAGUACGGCCGCAAGGCUAAAACUCAAAGGAAUUGACGGGGGCCCGCACAAGCGGCGGAGCAUGUGGCUUAAUUCGAGGCAACGCGAAGAACCUUACCUGGGCUUGACAUGUAGGGAAAAGCCGUAGAGAUACGGUGUCCUUCGGGGCUCUACACAGGUGGUGCUUGACUGUCGUCAGCUCGUGUCGUGAGAUGUUGGGUUAAGUCCCGCAACGAGCGCAACCCUUGUCCUAUGUUGCCAGCGGGUAAUGCCGGGGACUCGUAGGAGACUGCCGGGGUCAACUCGGAGGAAGGUGGGGGACGACGUCAAGUCAUCAUGCCCCUUACGUCCAGGGCUGCACACAUGCUACAAUGGCCGGUACAAUGGGCUGCUAACCCGCGAGGGGGAGCCAAUCCCUAAAGCCGGUCUCAGUUCGGAUCGCAGUCUGCAACUCGACUGCGUGAAGUCGGAGUCGCUAGUAAUCCCGGAUCAGCAACGCCGGGGUGAAUACGUUCCCGGGCCUUGUACACACCGCCCGUCACACCACGAAAGUCGGUAACACCCGAAGCCGGUGGCCCAACCCUUGUGGAGGGAGCCGUCGAAGGUGGGAUCGGUGAUUGGGGUGAAGUCGUAACAAGGUA